Molecule: long non-coding RNA, 1827 nt
Organism: Oncorhynchus tshawytscha (Chinook salmon)
Lineage: Eukaryota; Metazoa; Chordata; Actinopteri; Salmoniformes; Salmonidae
Source: Ensembl
UUUUGUACAAAAUUCUUAUUAUAUUUGUAAGAACCAUGUCCAGUAGAAGUCAUUGUUUGAAAGCAGCUUGGAAUCGAAGAAAGCACCGGAACCACGGCGAAAUCAGUGGGAUCUAGCAUGUUGCAGCACACGGUUUGAAAAAGCAUGUGAUCAAACGAAGCAUCGGACAUCAUUGAUGAUAUACUUCUGAUAAGGGUGGUGUCUAAUUCCCAUUGAAAUUCAGCCAAGUGGCGGAUUUGCUACGUUCGGACUGAAUUUUGCAUUCGGACUGAUUGCAAGUGUCGAGAGAGGAGCCGGCAAGGCCAGGACUAAAGACGUCAUGCUGACCAUGUUCUGUGGACACGUUCCCUCGCCCUCAUUAGAUGGUUAACCAGUGAGCAGUCAGGCAGAGGGAACGGGCCCCUCUAACCGGCCCGUCUGUUUCAUCUUUCAAAGCAGGGGGACGCUAACCAAUUCGCACUCUGGGCGGCACAAACCCUUUUACCCCAUGAAAACAAAAAUUACAAAAAAUAUUACAAUUAAAAUGAAAAAGUGAGGAUGAAUGAAGAGGCAGUGAGAGAGGGAGGAGAACGGGAAGGCUUUGAUUGUUGUUCCUAUUCAAAUCAGUACAUAACAACAUCUGACAUGCAUGACAGUAACUGCUUGCUAAUUAUGGCACAGCUUUGCUGUACGGGGUUGUUGUGUCACCGGGACCCCCAGACAAUCUGUCGAUUGUUGUGUGAGAAGAUUGGUCCGACAGGACAGAACAGGGCCAGGCCAGCCGCUUUCCUCUAACCAAUUAUCCCCAUUUACUAUCGCUGCUUGAAGCUGCUUCGCUGGCCCGCCUGCCAUGAACAAGGAAAAAAAGAUGGAGGUAGCGAGGACAAAUGAAAGCAAAAGAAAGACAGAUGAAGAAAGAGAGAGAGAGAAAAGACAUGAGUAUCAACGCUCCUGAAGUUUGGAUGGAGUUGGAGACACUAGUAGGUGUGAAAACAGAGAACUUACGUAAAACAAAACCUCGGCCAUUUUAAGUUUGGACGGAGAGAGAUAGAGAGGUUCUGUAGCUUUGCCUAAUGAGCUCAGCCACCACCUUGCCUCAGUUUGAAGGGGGAGGAGGGGGCGAAAAAGGGACUAUUAUGAAUUGAGUUAAUGAGCCUUGGGGUUGGAAAGCGGGUGAGGUGAGGGUGGCGGUCAAAUUCUAUUGCUCCCGGCCUCACCCCGAGCCCCCCUCCCCUUCCCUCCCUGUCCCUUUGAUUUAACAAGUGAACAAUUCUACUGCAGGUGUUUUAGACGUGCACUGAUCUAGGCUGAUGGAUUCCUCUGGUUAACUGUACUGAGAGUGUCGCAUUUAUCCAACGGGUUUCUGCACCGAAGGUUUUAGUCCAGCGUUUCCCAAACUUCAUUCUGGUUCUCUUGAUUUGAAAAUGGGGUCGCAAGAAAAACUCUAAGAAAUCAAAUCAAAUUGUGCUUGGUUCAUAGAACCGGGGUUACGUUAGUAACCUCCGGUAGCCGCUAGAUGUGGUUGUAAUAAACAGAGUGGUUUCUGUUUCCUUCCUACAAAUGUGGCUCUAACUUUUGAACGGUUUAAGAUACAAAAUAUUAUGACCACAUCACUGAAAGAUAAGUGUCUCUGGAACACGUAUGUAUCCGUUUCCCUCUACAAUGACCACAAGCCUCAUUAGAACAGUGGACAAAUUAUGAUGUAAUUUCCUACACAGAAGAUUAUACAAAUCAUUGCCUGAUGAUCUUCUGAACUUCCCAGUACCUUUUCUGAUGUAUUUCAGUCACUUCAAACCAUUCUUUCUUCAGAUUGAAAUACUGUCAAAAUUACUGUCUUAUUGAUUUGAA